ACCUCUUUCUUUUAUAAAUUACCCAGUCUCAGGCGGUUCUUCAUAUAAGUAUGAAAACGGGCUAAUACACUUCCUGAUUUCAAAACUUACUACAAAGCUAUAGUACUCAAGACAUUGUGGUACUGGCGUAAGGACAAACAUAGAUCAAUGAAACAGAACUGAGAGUCUAAUGAAGUUGAACUCCUAUAUCACAACAUACACAGAAACAAACUCAAAAUGGACCACAGGCUGGAGUGCGGUGGCCAACUGUAAUUUUGGCCACCGCGCCAGGCCAAAACUACAAAAUUCUUAGGAGAAAAACAUAGGAGUAAAUCUUUGUGACCUUGGGUUAGGCAACGGUUUCUCAGAUGGGACAUCAAAAGCACAGGUGACAAAAGAAAAAGGAGAUAAACUGUAUUACAUCAAAAUAAAAACAAAUGUGCUGCAAAUGAUACCAUCAAGGGAAAAGACGAUC
Molecule: long non-coding RNA, 454 nt
Filed under: Homo sapiens (human)
Lineage: Eukaryota; Metazoa; Chordata; Mammalia; Primates; Hominidae
Description: HSALNT0159097
Source: RNAcentral